CCUACGGGAGACAGCAGUGGGGAAUAUUGGGCAAUGGGCGCAAGCCUGACCCAGCAACGCCGCGUGAAGGAAGAAGGCUUUCGGGUUGUAAACUUCUUUUCUCAGGGACGAAGCAAGUGACGGUACCUGCGGAAUAAGCCACGGCUAACUACGUGCCAGCAGCCGCGGUAAUACGUAGGUGGCAAGCGUUAUCCGGAUUUACUGGGUGUAAAGGGCGUAUAGGCGGGAUUGCAAGUCAUAUGUCAAAACCACGGGCUCAACCUGUGGCCUGCAUGUGAAACUGUAGUUCUUGAGUACUGGAGAGGAAGAGGGAAUUCCUAGUGUAGCGGUGAAAUGCGUAGAUAUUAGGAGGAACACCAGUGGCGAAGGUGGUCUGCUGGACAGCAACUGACGCUGAGGCGCGAAAGCGUGGGGAGCAAACAGGAUUAGAUACCCGAGUAGUC
RNAcentral lists this ribosomal RNA (443 nucleotides) under uncultured bacterium. RNAcentral's name for it is "partial 16S ribosomal RNA". It matches the Rfam family "Bacterial small subunit ribosomal RNA", at positions 338 to 795 of the family's 1533-position model. The record is from RNAcentral.